UUGAACGCUGGCGGCAGGCCUAACACAUGCAAGUCGAGCGGAUGAAGGGAGCUUGCUCCUGGAUUCAGCGGCGGACGGGUGAGUAAUGCCUAGGAAUCUGCCUGGUAGUGGGGGAUAACGUCCGGAAACGGGCGCUAAUACCGCAUACGUCCUGAGGGAGAAAGUGGGGGAUCUUCGGACCUCACGCUAUCAGAUGAGCCUAGGUCGGAUUAGCUAGUUGGUGGGGUAAAGGCCUACCAAGGCGACGAUCCGUAACUGGUCUGAGAGGAUGAUCAGUCACACUGGAACUGAGACACGGUCCAGACUCCUACGGGAGGCAGCAGUGGGGAAUAUUGGACAAUGGGCGAAAGCCUGAUCCAGCCAUGCCGCGUGUGUGAAGAAGGUCUUCGAAUUGUAAAGCACUUUAAGUUGGGAGGAAGGGCAGUAAGUUAAUACCUUGCUGUUUUGACGUUACCAACAGAAUAAGCACCGGCUAACUUCGUG
This 483-nucleotide ribosomal RNA is filed under the name uncultured bacterium. Its description in RNAcentral is "partial 16S ribosomal RNA". It matches the Rfam family "Bacterial small subunit ribosomal RNA", at positions 30 to 507 of the family's 1533-position model. The record is from RNAcentral.